RNAcentral lists this ribosomal RNA (484 nucleotides) under uncultured bacterium. Its description in RNAcentral is "partial 16S ribosomal RNA". It matches the Rfam family "Bacterial small subunit ribosomal RNA", at positions 28 to 523 of the family's 1533-position model. The record is from RNAcentral.
GACGAACGCUGGCUGCGUGCUUAACACAUGCAAGUCGAACGCUGAAGCCAGAAGCUUGCUUCUGGUGGAUGAGUGGCGAACGGGUGAGUAACACGUGAGUAACCUGCCCCUGAUUUCGGGAUAAGCCUGGGAAACCUGGUCUAAUACCGGAUACGACCAUCCCUCGCAUGAGGGUUGGUGGAAAGUUUUUCGAUCGGGGAUGGGCUCGCGGCCUAUCAGCUUGUUGGUGGGUAAUGGCCUACCAAGGCGACGACGGGUAGCCGGCCUGAGAGGGCGACCGGCCACACUGGGACUGAGACACGGCCCAGACUCAUACGGGAGGCAGCAGUGGGGAAGAUUGCACAAUGGGGGAAACCCUGAUGCAGCGACGCAGCGUGCGGGAUGACGGCCUUCGGGUUGUAAACCGCUUUCAGCAGGGAAGAAGCGAAAGUGACGGUACCUGCAGAAGAAGUACCGGCUAACUACGUGCCAGCCGCCGCAGUAA